UCGCCCGCAGCAUCCUCUCCAUUCCACUCGCAUCGCAAGUGCCGUCCUUUUAUCACCGAUCACCAGAUCCGAUCACUGAUAGGCUAUCAAUCCACGGAUUCGCGAAAAGCCGCCCGGUCCGCGUCACCCGCGCGGCGCUCGCAGGCUUGCUCCGGUAGCAGCCUCAACUCAUCAGUCCCCCGUCACCACUCCAAGUUGUGCCAGGCCGAUCCGGGGAAAAAACACUCGGGAUGUUUUAAGAAGCGGCUGUGCGUUAUCGUCGGUAAUUCAGUGCACUUGUGCUCGUCGUCGGUCGUGUGUGAUGUCGCGAGUGAAUGCGUGCUUCUAAUUAUCCUCGUGUGUUCAGUGCUCAGACGCGUCUGUGGUCAUCUCGGUUAGCGACCGCCUCUGGAUUCGAUCCGGGUUAAUUCGUGUCGAAUGAAAGCUCCCUCGCGCCCUCUGCCAUCCCUUCAAAGAGUUCGAGGGCUCAGCAACGACGCUAGCGUCCUAUGCUCUUGUGCCAGGAUCAACGUACUCCCUUGGUCAUGGGGUCCCUCCUUCCUUAGGCGUGGGCGGCCUUGGACGCGAUUCCCACCAAAAUGUGGGCCGAUUGGAUUCUCCAACGUUUACUCUGUCUUUUAUGCCACGUGGACUGACUGUAUAUGUUUGAAAAUGGAGUUGGUUACGUAUACAAGUCGAACAAAUCUGUCUGGACUUUGAAGUGUAUGCUAUGUGGACAGACAUGCAGUCGAGUGAAAUCUAUUGAAAUUUCACCGGCGAAUGAAGUUUACGGUAAUAAAUGUCUGGAUUUUAGCGUGACGUCAUUGUCAUUUCAGAGAUAAAGAGACCUAAACUUUAAGAUUUGUAAGUAUGAGGAAAAUUCUCAUCAAAAUGUAUCUUCGCCUUAGCUCAAAAGUAAUUUAUUUGCACUGGUGAUUUGCUCGGGCUCUAGGAACAUAAAAUGACAAAACGUCAUUUCUUUACAUUGUAAACUGUUCUGAGCUCAUGGUGCAAACUUAUUUAUGCGAUGUAGGUUUGAAGUUUGAAAUGCAAAAUGACUCUC
RNAcentral lists this long non-coding RNA (1042 nucleotides) under Bemisia tabaci. Its description in RNAcentral is "lncRNA ENSSSA2NGG004362". Lineage: Eukaryota; Metazoa; Arthropoda; Insecta; Hemiptera; Aleyrodidae. The record is from RNAcentral.